UGAGAAGUCUGCUUUGGGUCAGGCUUACCCUGUGUUGGGCAGGUGCUUGGUGUCCAGUUCGAUUCCUGGCUGGGUUGGGGCUGGGGGUAAUGGAGAUGGUUCUGUUGGUGUCAUCUCUCUAGGAAGCAGUUAGGGUACAGCUGCACGUGUGCACCUCCUUUUCUCACUUGUCUCUGUUAAGACAGGGGUCUGCUUUCUCACGUCCCUGGCAUGGGAAUUGUACACAUAUAAUUUUUUGGCUCCAGAUGCCUGAACACAUAAUUGCUGCCACUGUCAGUGGUGCAGGAGGUAGCAGCAGAGAUGGGCUUUCGCUGCUUCUAGGAGAAAGUGGUUUGUACUAUGCCUGCCUUUUAGUCAUAUAUUCAUUUCUACUGUUCUGUUUCAGUCUUCCUUGUUCUCUUUGCAGUAUUCCCUUUAUUCUAGGAACCAGGGUGUAACUGCUUUCCUCUGGGAUACAAUUUUCUUAUAUGGAAACAUUGGUGAACUGUUGACGUUUUGAUUUUAUACAAAGACUUCUGGUUUCAUAACUUCUGAUUGCUGAUCAAAGUUUUGACAUACGAUGUGUAAAUGAUGGGUUAAUUUGUGACUGAGUUGAUUUAAUAUUUUGGAUUUGUUGCCUUCUCUGCUGCCUGUGUCAUAAAGAGAGGGAGAAGGCUGAUGCUAGAAUGCAAAAGGAGAUCUCUUUGCUCAGUGUGUUUUUCACUAGACUUGCACCCCAGUCAAGGUUCAUAAUUCGGCUGAACCACUGAGGCUGGUAGAGAUCCAGAUCUAUCAGCAGCAAUCAUGAUAAAAUUUUCAAUGUGCUUUGUACUGUACAGAGAUCUAAUUUGAGAUUCCUGUAACCCAGUAAUUGCACUAAUAUUGAACUCAGUGAUGCACGACAAGAGGAUAUGCUUCUAUAUCUUAAAAGAGCACAUCUAUACACUGCUCUAGUUUUUAAGUUUUAGCUCUGUGGAGAAGGAAGUGCACAGAGGACCAGUGACUUCCAGUUGUUUUCAGGACUUAGGUCUGAAGGUGCAGAGAAUGCUUAUUUAUAAUCACAGGAACCAUUAAUGUCAAUAAGGAACAAACCCAGAAUUAUUUGGUCAGCUGAAGGUCAUUAAUUCCCAGUGGUAGUAGUUCUGGUCCCCAGAUAAUGUUAUGCAUAUUUCCUCUCUCCUCUGUCUCUAAACAAGCUGGCUGCACAACUGUAGGCAGCAGGAGAAAGGAUUAGUCCUGCCCCGUUCCCUGCCCUUCGGGACUGAAUUUUCAACUGGGGGAACUUGUGUGAAUGGCGAACUGUAGAUACUUACUCCCCGGGUCUGCAGUUUAGAAAUGGAAGGCUUUAAGCAGCGUGACCUUCCUUUUCAGAAUAACCAAGGCCUGUGUUCCUUCUACAGAACAUCUCGGUUGUCUGCAUUCUGUAUGAUUUUAUUGACUCGCAUUCCAAAGAUCAGAUUUGCAAGAUAGUCUAGCAGUUGUUGUGUUCAAAGCUCUUGCGCCUGAAGAAUUAUCCCUAAGUAUUAUGAAUGUCCUUUAAAACUUAUCUUGAAUGCCUCAGAAGUGCCAAAAUACAGAAAACAAGAAAUUUGUCUUGCCCUGUGCCAGAAGGAAAGCAAAUAGCCAGUAUGAGUGGCUUUGUGUAAGAGAAGAGUGUAGGUAUUCCUGGCUGACAGACCUGCCACAAAUGUACAAACAGGAGAUACGGAGCAAAACACAAUUGGACCAGCAUCUAUCAGAAGAGGUGACAUUGGCUACUGGCAGUGUACUUUCUGUCACUUGGCUUCGGCUCUUGUGAAACAUGAUGGGUUGAAGCCUAUGAUAAAGAUAAAACAGUAUAAACUGCUCUUCAACUUGUUUGGGCUUAGGCAUGUUUUUUUUUGGUUGACUAGAUAUAGGAAAUUGAGCUUGUAUUGGUCACGUAGCAGCAGCUGUAAAAAUAUAACAGUUAAUGCAAUGAUCAGUUCUGCCUAUGACCUUAAUUACAGAUAGAUUAGUUUGCUUUUUUUUUUUUACAAUCCCGUACUAUAUUUUUUUUCUCUCUUUUCCUUUAGCUUGUCUCAUUCAGUGAUUUGUACGAAGAGUAAAGCUUUUCUAGUAAUAAAAACAACAAAGCAACAUUUUAACUUUUAAAAUAUAUCUAUGUAUUUAUAUUUGUUUAAAUUUCUGUCCCUGCAAAUGGAGGAAAAAAGCUGUUGCAAAAUAGGUGGGUUUUUUAAACUUUGAAAGUGGAUGGAUGCCAUUAAGAGUCAAGACACGAUUGUUAUUUACCUUGUACAAGUCUAACGUUUCUGGUUGCUCAAGAGGAUCAAAGAAUGAUUUGGACAGGAGAGAUGCUGUUAGAGGCGCUGUCUGAAACAAUUUUAAAACCUUUGCAAAAUCAUCACAUAUUGGGGCAAUGUGACUGUCAAAGUUUGUUAAGGAAAGAUAAUUUUUGCCUGAGCAUCUUAUGGAUGCAGAUGAGUAAGUAGGAAAAAAAUAGAAAACUGCUUUGAAUAAUAAAUUACACCACUCACAUAUGUUCCUCACUUGCCAGCUAUUUUUUCAUCUGUGAUGCCAGUUUGUAACAUUUCCAGUAACUUUAUUGUUAUGGAGAAAUUGGAUCUCCACUUCAAUAUAUCAUUUAUUCUUUAAUAUUUAUUCUAGAAGGGAUAAAUAAAUGUAAUUGUUACUGUGUUAGACUUUUUUUAUCUCUUUGCAAGAUGUUGGAGUGGAGUAUUGGAGCUGAUUAAAAUUAGUAGAGUAAAGCUGAUCUUAAUACUUGCCCAGAUCUUCACAUGUGCAAGACUCUUGUGUUGGCAGGAUAUUACUUUGUCAGUUGUUAAUUCAGGGGACUAAAAUACGUAUUACAUAGCUUGCUUAUUUUUGUGGGAAAGCAUAUGCUGAUAUUGCUGCUAUCUUUGGUUAGUGUGAGAAUUUCUUAAUCUUACUAGCCCUUGUUUGAAUUCUAAAAUCUAAACCAUGAAUGAGUUAAUAAAAAUACAUUCAGAUUCCCCUAAAAAAUUCCUUUUGGCAUUUAUAUUUAGCUUUGUUUAUAGAUACACUAUUUUUACUCAUUAAAACAUUUAUCUUAUAAUAAAAGUCUUUCAUAUAUAUGCCAAAAGCAUUCUAUGUAUUACUAACUCGUGGAAGAAAAAAUGAUGCAUAAAACGACAUGAAAAACAGUUACAAGAGGCGUUCAUGGUUACUUCCUCUCUGGAGAAUAGAUUGUUGAGUGCUAUUUAUAUACCUAAACAAGCAAUAAUCUUAACAAUUCACGCUAGUGAACUACUGUAGCUGUCCAUGAUAUUUAUCUACAGACUGAUCCUUUUUUUUUCUUUUUUUCUUGAAGCUUGGUGAUAUUAGAGGUCACAGUAGAAAGUGAAGUGAAAUGGGACCUUGAAGCGCUUCCAUUAAAUUGCUUAAUAACCUUAAGAAAAUUACUCAGUUUCUUUUGCUUGCUUUAGGACUGUGUAGGGCUAACUCUUAAAGGCCUGAGAUGGUGCAGACUUCAUGUGUUCAUUGAAGAUGCUUUGGAAAGGUUUGUAAACAUUAUUAGAGCUGAAUGCUCUUCAGAUUGUUUCAGUAUUCCAAAUUAUUUGGAGCAAGUAGGGUAUCUUCUCCAGCUGGUUUCUAUUCUUACUUGAGGUUUUGUUGAGUUUGUUGGGAGUUAUUUUGGUUUUUAUUUCACUUUAUUUUCAUUCUUCUGUCACUGAUGUGAAAUGGUAACCUGGCACAAAACACUGGCUUUUUUUUAGCCUACUUUCAAGACUAACAGAAAUGUACUGCAUGCAAAUCCUUUUUUCUUUUUUAACUAUAAAUUCCUCCAAAAAGUAAUUUUCUUCACAAAAAAAUAAUCCUGAAGCUAAAAGCCUUUUUCUGAGUUUCAGUGUUUUCAAAAUAAAAUUUUGUCCUACUGAUCUGUUUUGUAAAAAUAAGUUGUGUUCUUAUAUUCCAGUUAGUCACAACUGUAUGCAGCAGUGAAACUAUGCUUUAAUUAGCCAUAUCUUGAAGGUUAUACAGAUCAGUUUAGCCUAUUUAAUUGUUUUAGCCUAUUGAAUAUUUGUAAAUCCAGUAAAUGAGAGACAUGAAGAAAAAAAAAAACAUCACUGAUUCACACUACUUAAAUUGGGUUUAAAUGUCAAGUUGACGAUGUGGAAUUACAUUAAAGCAAUUCAGUUUUUCAGAUGAAGUAGGUAGUCUGCUACUGGUGAAGUUUCCAAGAUUUUCACCUUGGUCAGCUGGUAGGUCUUAUUAAAGCAGUAGUAGUUUGCUUCUAAUUACACCUUAGGGGUUGGCUGAUGAUGAGAGACUCUAGAAUUAGACUUAAUGGUAGUUUUGUAAUCGGUUUGGGCUUUAUUAAUAACUAUAUCAGGGUCUUGAGUUUGUUUCUACUUCAACAAACAAAUGGAAGUACAAAGCUGUUAAAGGAGGACACUGGAGCCUGAGCUUGCUCUAGCAGUGGUGCCUGUGAGCUGCUGGUGGAGUUUCACCAACGUGACUGCGUGAUCUGGAGUAAGUAAGUGGAAAACCAAAGAUGAAGUAGAAAUUGGAAGAAAGGUUUUCUGUCCAAGUGUUGAGCAACUGGGCAGUGACAGAGGGGCUGUUGGUUCUGACCUGGGGCUUCUAUCUGUAUGGCUGUGGGCGCUGCGGUGUUUGCCUGAGGUUUCUUCAGAGCCUGCUCUCUGACGCUGUGGCGCGGUAUCAUCUUUCUGUGAUGGACUUACUGUUGGUGUGAGAUCCGAUCCUUCUGGUCCAAAUGCAAACUGCUGUAUACUAACAGCCAUUUAUCUUUCUUUUUGAGGAGUGGCAUAUCCGAAAAGUGGAUGUUCAGGAUAACAUGUCCAAUGUGUCAGAAGAGAGGAGCACUAGACAACAGGACAUUAAGAAAGGACUCCAGUUUAUAGAAUCUACUUUGCCCUAUCCAGGGACGCAAGAACAGUAUGAGUUAUUUAUACGAGAGCUUGUUAGAAAUCUUUUUAAUGAAGGGAAUGAUGUAUAUCGAGAAGGUGAUUGGAGAGGAUCACUGAGUCACUAUACAGAAGCUAUAAAUAUAGCUGAUUAUGCUAAUUCUGAAGAAAUCCAUGUUUCUGAUGAUAUUUUAGAGAAGCUGCAUGUGAACAGGAUAGCAUGUUUUUCAAAUAUGGGAUUGCAUGAAAAAGUUCUAGAAGACUGUGAAAUAGCAUUAAGAUUAAACGAAAACAAUUUCAGAGCUCUCUAUCGGAAAGCAAAAGCUUUGAACGAACUGGGAAGGUAUAAGACGGCUUAUGAUGCUGUAGCAAAAUGUUCUCUUGCUGUGCCACAGGAUGAAAGUGUGAUUAAGCUUACCCAAGAACUAGCUCAGAAACUAGGGUUAAAAAUAAGGAAAGCAUAUGUAAGAGCAAAGCCACCCUCCUCAAACUCAGUUUCUAGUGAUGUAUCAACUCAGAAUUCUUCUUCUUCUUCUGUAGAAGAUAUUGAGUUAGAUUUGUCUGACCAGAAGCAAGAAAUGGUUUCUGCUGCUUCUUCAUCAAACUUUGUUUCUGAAGUGUCUAAAGUGUCAUCAGUACCUGUACCAUCUUUAUCUUCUGUUAUGCCUCUUCAAGUGGAAAAGGUUUCUUUGCCCUCUGCAGUGUUGGCAAAUGGAGGGAAUGUUUCUUUCUCUAUGCCAGAAGCAUGUCUAGAUUGUGGAGAUGGAGACAUAAUUAUUGGUGAAGAACUUGAUGAAUUACUUGAUUCUGUGCCUGAUCCAGAGGAGAGUGUAAUGCAAACUACAGGAGCCAGAGGACCUAUUCCUGCAGGAAGCGUAGCUCCUAGUGUACCUUUCUCUGCCUCUUUGCUGGGGACACUGCCAGUUAGUGCAGGAUUUGUUCCUUCACCUUCUCUUUCAGAAAUCUUUUCACAGCCUUUGGCUUCUUCACUGGAGAAUUUUUGUUCACCAUUAAGCACCUUUUCAAUCAGUGAGCCCAAAAGAGACCUCUCAAGUUCAGCUUCUAGGGAUGGAACACCAACACUUAGCAGCAAUAAUUCCCCGUUGUUUAUAAAUGGCCCUAGUAGUUUGUUUGGGUCCGAAAAUUACAUGGGAAUUGCAGGCCAAACUAGAAAUGACUUUUCAAAUGUUUUUAGCAGUGCAACUGCUAAUUCACCUGUAUCUUCAGCACUUGUGGGAAGAAACCCAUUAGAAGGCACACAUGAGCUGCGACAGGCCUGCCAGUUAUGUUUUGUCAAAAAAGGUCCUAAGUUAUUGGAUUACGCUUACCAUCCCAAUUUAGAGCAUAAAUGUAAGAAAGAUAUUCUAAUUGGUAGAAUAAAAAACUCGGAAGAUAAAUCAUGGAAAAAAAUACGACCAAGACCAACAAAGACACAAUAUGUGGGACCAUAUUAUAUUUGUAAAGAUGUUGCUGCUGAAGAAGAAUGCAGAUAUCCAGGUCACUGCACGUUUGCGUAUUGCCAAGAGGAGAUAGAUGUGUGGACACUGGAGCGCAAAGGAGCCUUUAGUCGAGAAGCUCUUUUUGGAGGAAAUGGAAAGAUCAACUUGACUGUGUCUCGACUCCUUCAAGAACAUCAUGGAUUAUUUAUGUUUCUUUGUGAGAAAUGUUUUGAUCACAAACCCAGAAUAAUAAGCAAAAGGAACAAAGAUAACUCAUCUUCUUGUUCUCACCCUGCUAUGCAUGACUUUGAAGAUAACAAGUGCCUUGUCCACAUUUUGCGAGAAACUAUGGUGAAAUAUUCCAAAAUCCGCCCUUUUCAAGUUAGAUGCCAGCUUGACCUGUGCAGACAUGAGGUGCAUUAUGGCUGCUUACGAGAGGAUAAAUGCUUUUAUGCUCACAGCCUGGUAGAGCUUAAAGUCUGGAUAAUGCAGAAGGAAACAGGUAUUUCACAUGAUACUAUUGUUCAAGAAUCAAAGAAAUACUGGCAGAACAUGGAAGCUAGUGCACAUGGGUCACAGAUCCUUGGGAACCAAAUGAAAUAUGGAUCACUUAAUUUGAAGAUGAAGUUUGUUUGUGGUCAGUGCUGGAGAAAUGGUCAAGUUAAUGAGCCAGACAGAAACAAAAAAUACUGUAGUGCAAAGGCAAGACACCCAUGGACCAAAGAUCGUCGUGUGGUGCUAGUAAUGUCUAAUGAACGUAAGAAGUGGAUGACCAUUCGUCCUCUUCCCGCAAAGAAACAAGUGCCUCUGCAAUUUGAUUUGUGCAAUCAUAUUGCUUCAGGCAAGAAAUGUCAGUAUGAUGGAAACUGCUCAUUUGCUCACAGUCCUGAGGAAAGAGAGAUGUGGACCUAUAUGAAGGAGAACAGCACUUCUGCUCUCAUUAGUUCAAGACUUGGAGCAGUUGUAUGACAUAUGGCUAAAAAGUCAAAAGCCAGAAAAAGGAGAUGACGCAGCUGCUCAGGCAAACAAAGAAAAUGGGAAGCAAAUUCACAUGCCGACUGACUAUGCUGAAGUUACAGUGGAUUUUCACUGUUGGAUGUGCGGGAAGAACUGUAAUAGUGAGAAGCAAUGGCAGGGUCACAUUUCUUCCGAAAAACAUAAAGAGAAGGUUUUCCACACUGAAGAUGAUCAAAACUGCUGGCAGUAUCGCUUUCCAACUGGAUAUUUUAGCAUUUGUGAUAGAUAUAUGGCUGGUACUUGCACUGAAGGGAACAACUGUAAAUUUGCCCAUGGAAACGCUGAACUCCAUGAGUGGGAAGAACGACGACAAGUUUUAAGAAUGAAGCUCAGCAAAGCAAGAAAAGACCACUUGAUUGCUCCCAGUGAUAAUGACUUUGGAAAAUAUAGUUUUUUGUUUAAAGAUUUAAACUAAUACUGAGGUGACACAUACAUGUUAUCAGCUGGAAGCAUAAACCAGAAAAUUUGACAAUAAUCAAAAGCAUGUGACAGAAAAGCUGCAGGUUUUCUGCUUUUAUUGGCAUAUAUUGUUCCCCCUGAACAGC
This is an RNA transcript of Calidris pugnax (ruff), 7869 nucleotides long. It is a transcript of the gene named zinc finger CCCH-type containing 7A, with no coding region annotated. The transcript is spliced from 22 exons. Lineage: Eukaryota; Metazoa; Chordata; Aves; Charadriiformes; Scolopacidae. The record is from RefSeq and is a predicted model, not a curated record.